UACGUAGGUGGCAAGCGUUGUCCGGAUUUAUCGGGUUUAAAGGGUGCGUAGGCGGCCCUGUAAGUCAGUGCUGAAAUAUCCCGGCUUAACCGGGAGGGUGGCAUUGAUACUGCGGGGCUAGAGUACAGAUGAGGUAGGCGGAAUUGACGGUGUAGCGGUGAAAUGCUUAGAUAUCGUCAAGAACACCUAUAGCGAAGGCAGCUUACUAGGCUGUAACUGACGCUGAGGCACGAAAGUGUGGGGAUCAAACAGG
Molecule: ribosomal RNA, 253 nt
Filed under: uncultured bacterium
Lineage: Bacteria
Description: partial 16S ribosomal RNA
Rfam family: Bacterial small subunit ribosomal RNA
Source: RNAcentral